RNAcentral lists this ribosomal RNA (402 nucleotides) under Salmonella enterica subsp. enterica serovar Oranienburg. RNAcentral describes it as "bacterial SSU rRNA". It matches the Rfam family "Bacterial small subunit ribosomal RNA", at positions 1 to 397 of the family's 1533-position model. The record is from RNAcentral. Lineage: Bacteria; Pseudomonadati; Pseudomonadota; Gammaproteobacteria; Enterobacterales; Enterobacteriaceae.
UUAAAUUGAAGAGUUUGAUCAUGGCUCAGAUUGAACGCUGGCGGCAGGCCUAACACAUGCAAGUCGAACGGUAACAGGAAGCAGCUUGCUGCUUUGCUGACGAGUGGCGGACGGGUGAGUAAUGUCUGGGAAACUGCCUGAUGGAGGGGGAUAACUACUGGAAACGGUGGCUAAUACCGCAUAAUGUCGCAAGACCAAAGAGGGGGACCUUCGGGCCUCUUGCCAUCAGAUGUGCCCAGAUGGGAUUAGCUUGUUGGUGAGGUAACGGCUCACCAAGGCGACGAUCCCUAGCUGGUCUGAGAGGAUGACCAGCCACACUGGAACUGAGACACGGUCCAGACUCCUACGGGAGGCAGCAGUGGGGAAUAUUGCACAAUGGGCGCAAGCCUGAUGCAGCCAUGC